UACAGAGGGGGCAAGCGUUGUUCGGAAUUACUGGGCGUAAAGGGCGCGUAGGCGGCCUGUUAAGUCGAACGUGAAAUCCCCGGGCUCAACCCGGGAACUGCGUCCGAUACUGGCAGGCUUGAAUCCGGGAGAGGGAUGCGGAAUUCCAGGUGUAGCGGUGAAAUGCGUAGAUAUCGGGAGGAAUACCAGUGGCGAAGGCGGCCUUCUGGACGGAUACUGACGCUGAGGCGCGAAAGCCAGGGGAGCAAACGGG
This 253-nucleotide ribosomal RNA is filed under the name uncultured bacterium. RNAcentral describes it as "partial 16S ribosomal RNA". It matches the Rfam family "Bacterial small subunit ribosomal RNA", at positions 524 to 776 of the family's 1533-position model. The record is from RNAcentral.